This 380-nucleotide ribosomal RNA is filed under the name uncultured bacterium. Its description in RNAcentral is "bacterial SSU rRNA". It matches the Rfam family "Bacterial small subunit ribosomal RNA", at positions 362 to 759 of the family's 1533-position model. The record is from RNAcentral.
UCUUGCGCAAUGGGCGAAAGCCUGACGCAGCAACGCCGCGUGCGGGAUGAAGGCCCUAGGGUUGUAAACCGCUUUCAGUAGGAACGAAAAUGACGGUACCUGCAGAAGAAGGUGCGGCCAACUACGUGCCAGCAGCCGCGGUGACACGUAGGCACCAAGCGUUGUCCGGAUUUAUUGGGCGUAAAGAGCUCGUAGGCGGUUUAGUAAGUCGGGUGUGAAAACUCUGGGCUUAACCCAGAGCCGCCACUCGAUACUGCUGUGACUUGAGUUCGGUAGGGGAGCAGGGAAUUCCUAGUGUAGCGGUGAAAUGCGCAGAUAUUAGGAGGAACACCGGUGGCGAAGGCGCUGCUCUGGGCCGAUACUGACGCUGAGAGCGAAAG